UAAAUUUAUUAAAAGCUUUGAAUGGAUACCUUGGGUAAAAAAGAGGAUGAAGGACGUAGUUGGUUGCGAAAAGCUUCGGUAAGGUACCAACAACCGCUUGGAACCGAAGAUCUCCGAAUGGGGGAACCUAUUCUGUAUAACAGAAUGCAAGAGCCAAGACCAUGCGAAUUGAAAUAUCUUAGUAGCAUGAGGAAAAGAAAUCGUAAGAGAUUCUCUUAGUAGCGACGAGCGAACGGGGAACAGUCCAAACCUAAUCAGUGUAAGCUUCUAGGCGUUGCUGGUUGAGGGGUUGUGGGAUAUCUCAGAAAUUGCUAGAACAGUUUCAGGAGUUACAAUAUUUAUCUAAAAGAAUCUUUUGAGAGGAGAACCAUAGAGGGUUACAGUCCCGUAUUUGAAAGGUGAAUAUACUUCGAGAUACAUCCCAAGUAGCGUCAAACACGUGAAAUUUGGCGUGAAUCUGGGCCGACCACGGUCUAAGACUAAAUACUUUUUUACACCGAUAGUGAACUAGUACCGUGAGGGAAAGGUGAAAAGAACCCCUGGUAGGGGAGUGAAAUAGAAUUUGAAAUUCAUAGCUUACAAUUGAGUGGGAGCCUUCGGGUGACCACGUACCUAUUGACGAAUGGGUCAGCGAGUUAUUGGUGCUAGCAAGGUUAAGGCAGGUAUAGCCGGAGCCGUAGGGAAACCGAGUCUGAAUAGGGCGACAUAGUUAGUGCUGAUAGACCCGAAGCGAUAUGAGCUAAGCAUGGGCAGGUUGAAGGUAUGCGAGAGCAUACUGGAGGACCGAACGGGUUGGUGCUGCAAAACCUUCCGAUGACCUGUGUUUAGGAGUGAAAAGCUCAUCGAAUAUCGCGAUAGCUGGUUCUCUCCGAAAUGCAUUUAGGUGCAGCCUAUAAUCAAGAUCUCAUAGAGGUAGAGCUCUGAUAAGGCUAGGGGUGUCGAGAGACAUUACCAAACCUUGUUAAACUUCGAAUGCUAUGAGGAAUAUUAUAGAGUGAGACUGCGGGAGCAAGUUUCGUAGUCGAAAGGAUAACAGUCCAGACUUCUGAUUAAGGUCCCUAAAGUAGUACUAAGUGGAAAAAGAGGUGUCUUUGCUAAGACAUUCAGGAGGUUUGCCUAGAAGCAGCAAUCCUUUAAAGAUAGCGUAACAGCUCACUGAACUAGUGAAGAUGCGCUGAAGAUGUAACGGGGCUAAGUACUAUACCGAAAUCGAAGGCCUAAUUUAUUAGGCGGUAGGAGAGUGUUCUUUUUUGGAUGAACCUACACUGCGAGGUGUAGCGGACAAAAAGAAGUAAUAAUGCUGACAUGAGUAACGCCUCAUGAUGAAAAAUCAUGACGCCGAAACCCCCAGGAUUCCUACGCAACGUUAAUCGUCGUAGGGUUAGGCGGGACCUAACUGUGCACCGAAAGGUAGCACGGGAUGGAUAGCUGGUUAAUAUUCCAGCCCCUAUAUAUACAGUGAUGUGGUAACAUAUCGGGAUGUGUAAGAGCUUACUAAGGAUGUGAGUUAAGAAGACGAAGCAACUCUGAUUUAUCAGAGGGCAGAGGUUGGAAAAUCCGCUUUUGUUUCACGUUGAGUCGGAUUAAGAUCGAUUUCUUCGGAAUGAAGUAUUCUUAUAGUUCUGGUAUCAAGAAAACCCACUAAACUUAUGUAUAUGUAGCCCGUACCCAGAUCAGACACAUGGAGGGAGGUAGAGAAUACCAAGGCGAUCGAGAUAACUAAUGGAUAAGGAACUCGGCAAAUUAGCGGGCGUACGUUAGCAAUAAGCCCUGCCCUGCAGAAAUGUAGGGCCGCAGCGAAUGACGUGGGGGGAACUGUUUAUCAAAAACACAGCUCUCUGCUAACAUGAAAAUGGAUGUAUAGAGGGUGACGCCUGUCCAAUGCCAGAAUGUCAAGUUCUUUGGUGCAAGCUUGAGAAUCAAGCACUGGUGAAUGACGGCCGUAACUAUGACGGUCCUAAGGUAGCGAAAUUCCUUGUCGGGUAAGUUCCGACGCGCACGAACGGCGUAAUCAUCCCCACACUGUCUUGUCCUUAGACUCGGUGAAAUUACAAUCCCGGUAAAAAUGCCGGGUAGUUGCAGUUAGACGGAAAGACCCCGUGAAGCUUUACUGUAAAUUGAUAUUGGAAUGUAGCUUAUGUUGCUCAGUAUAAGUGGGAGGCUUUGAUGUUUCGACUUUGGUCGGGGCGGAGCCAACAAGUGAGAUACCACUCAUCGUAUGUAGCAUUUCUAACCCCUAAAUUGGGGAACAGUGUCAGUUGGAC
RNAcentral lists this ribosomal RNA (2264 nucleotides) under oral metagenome. Its description in RNAcentral is "bacterial LSU rRNA". It matches the Rfam family "Bacterial large subunit ribosomal RNA", at positions 1 to 2266 of the family's 2925-position model. The record is from RNAcentral.